AUUGAACGCUGGCGGCAGGCCUAACACAUGCAAGUCGCAUGAGUGGCGGACGGGUGAGUAAUGUCUGGGAAACUGCCCGAUGGAGGGGGAUAACUACUGGAAACGGUAGCUAAUACCGCAUACCAUCGGAUGUGCCCAGAUGGGAUUAGCUAGUAGGUGGGGUAACGGCUCACCUAGGCGACGAUCCCUAGCUGGUCUGAGAGGAUGACCAGGCACACUGGAACUGAGACACGGUCCAGACAGCUCAGGGUGACAGCAGUUGGGAAUAUUGCACAAUGGGCGAAAGCCUGCUGCAGCCAUGCGGCAUGUAGGAAGAAGGCCUUAGGGUUGUAAAAUACUUUCAGCGAGGAGGCGGUACUCGCAGAAGAAGAACCUGCUAACUGCAUGCCAGCAGCCGCGGUAAUUC
This 406-nucleotide ribosomal RNA is filed under the name uncultured bacterium. RNAcentral's name for it is "partial 16S ribosomal RNA". It matches the Rfam family "Bacterial small subunit ribosomal RNA", at positions 30 to 526 of the family's 1533-position model. The record is from RNAcentral.